GGGCGGCAGCAUGGACUUCGGUCUGAUGGCGAGCGGCGAACGGGUGAGUAAUGCAUCGGAACGUACCCAGUCGUGGGGGAUAACGUAGCGAAAGUUACGCUAAUACCGCAUACGUCCUACGGGAGAAAGCAGGGGAUCGCAAGACCUUGCGCGAUUGGAGCGGCCGAUGUCUGAUUAGCUAGUUGGUAGGGUAAAGGCCUACCAAGGCGUCGAUCAGUAGCGGGUCUGAGAGGAUGAUCCGCCACACUGGAACUGAGACACGGUCCAGACUCCUACGGGAGGCAGCAGUGGGGAAUUUUGGACAAUGGGGGCAACCCUGAUCCAGCCAUUCCGCGUGAGUGAAGAAGGCCUUCGGGUUGUAAAGCUCUUUCGGCAGGAACGAAACGGUUCGCUCUAACAUAGCGGACUACUGACGGUACCUGAAGAAGAAGCACCGGCUAACUACGUGCCAGCAGCCGCGGUAAUACGUAGGGUGCGAGCGUUAAUCGGAAUAACUGGGCGUAAAGCGCACGCAGGCGGUUGGAUAAGUCAGAUGUGAAAUCCCCGGGCUCAACCUGGGAACUGCAUUUGAAACUGUCUGACUAGAGUCUUGUAGAGGGGGGUAGAAUUCCAGGUGUAGCGGUGAAAUGCGUAGAGAUCUGGAGGAAUACCGGUGGCGAAGGCGGCCCCCUGGACAAAGACUGACGCUCAGGUGCGAAAGCGUGGGGAGCAAACAGGAUUAGAUACCCUGGUAGUCCACGCUGUAAACGAUGUCGAUUUGGAGUUUGUGCCAUUAUGAGCGUGGGGUUCCGAAGCUAACGC
Molecule: ribosomal RNA, 801 nt
Filed under: uncultured bacterium
Lineage: Bacteria
Description: bacterial SSU rRNA
Rfam family: Bacterial small subunit ribosomal RNA
Source: RNAcentral